GAUGAACGCUGGCGGCGUGCCUAAUACAUGCAAGUAGAACGCUGAAGGAAGGAGCUUGCUCUUUCCGGAUGAGUUGCGAACGGGUGAGUAACGCGUAGGUAACCUGCCUGGUAGCGGGGGAUAACUAUUGGAAACGAUAGCUAAUACCGCAUAACAACAGUUGUUGCAUGACAGCUGUUUAAAAGGUGCAAAUGCACCACUACCAGAUGGACCUGCGUUGUAUUAGCUAGUUGGUGAGGUAACGGCUCACCAAGGCGACGAUACAUAGCCGACCAGAGAGGGUGAUCGGCCACACUGGGACUGAGACACGGCCCAGACUCCUACGGGAGGCAGCAGUAGGGAAUCUUCGGCAAUGGACGGAAGUCUGACCGAGCAACGCCGCGUGAGUGAAGAAGGUUUUCGGAUCGUAAAGCUCUGUUGUAAGAGAAGAACGAGUGUGAGAGUGGAAAGUUCACACUAUGACGGUAUCUUACCAGAAAGGGACGGCUAACUACGUGC
This 498-nucleotide ribosomal RNA is filed under the name uncultured Streptococcus sp. Its description in RNAcentral is "bacterial SSU rRNA". It matches the Rfam family "Bacterial small subunit ribosomal RNA", at positions 28 to 508 of the family's 1533-position model. The record is from RNAcentral. Lineage: Bacteria; Bacillati; Bacillota; Bacilli; Lactobacillales; Streptococcaceae.